AAGCUCGUCAAGCAGCAACUGCAAGACUGGCGCAAAAGAACGCGUUCAUUUCUUCAAUGUGUUUUUCAAGAGCAAAAGCAUUUACACUAUGAGAGGAUUUACAAGUAACAACACUCAAAAUGUACAAUCGUGUCAUUCUUCUCUGUACUGACCACGAAUACAAACUGUGUUGAACCUUUUUCGCUCUGUGGAAGAGCAAACUGACUGAGGCGUUGAACAACAGAAGGGGCGGCAGCAGCUCAACCCCCAGCAUUUGGGUACUCAGGACGUGCAUUUGUGGUCAAAUAUCCAUCAAAAACACAGAUGGUUGGUAUUUGUAGUAUACAGGAACUAUUCACGGAUUGCUCCCCACAACCUCCAACAAGGCUUUGCACUCUGGAGCUCACUAUUAAAGUGGGCCUUUUAAGGUAACUGAUCAGCUUGCACAAUUGAUAACUUCAGCUUCCCAGUUGGGCCUUGAUAUACAUUGUUCGCACUCUUCAAGAACUCUACCUCCACGUGACCUAUAUUUAUCAUAUCAGUCAUAGCAGGAGGCAAUCCCCAAUAAAAAACGAGAUUGGGCUCGGAUGCAUCAACGUCAACAUACUCUGUUGGGUUGGGGUCACAAAACCCCAGCAACUCCUCCAGUUUGAUAAUUAGGCAGCGAAAGCGUGAUUUGACACAACCCACCCAGUCACCUAGCUCAUCUUUAUCAGAAGCUGAGAGGAAAAUUUUGACAAACUUCUCAUAUUUUCUUGGAUAAGGAUAGGGCUCAAACAGGUUAUUCCAAUCAAAAUCUGGCCUUAAAAUAUCCUUAGUCAGUGUAUGCCCUCUCAGCAACUCACUCUUGAUUAUGAAAAAUGUACUUCGGACCGUGUUUGAAUGACAAAAUUGAUAUGGGCUACACGGUAACUGGAUUGGCAUCCACAAAACUUUAUCCGUGGGAAUAAAUGGCCAAGCAACUCCAUCUUGUAAAAUUACUGGAGUCGGCCAAGGCCAAAAGGCAAAUGUUUUGAAGAAAAUAAAAAAAAGUGCACUCAAGCUGGCUGUUGGAUGCCUUUGACAGAUGAAUGCUGAAAGCACUGCUAGAUGAACUCCUCCAAAGAAUCCAAGCAAAUUCCCAUAAACUCCUCGUUUCUUUGCCCAUAGUUUAACACAACGCAGAACUGCCUGAAAUAUCUCUACAUUUGGCACAAGUUGAAGAAUUCUCCUAUUUGCACGAACACCAGACAGACUUUUCCAACUCUUGUCAUCAAUAUUCUUCAAGAAGAACGGAUUGAAUACAUCCACAUCCUCAGGUAUGGAUAUUACUUUUAGUCGUGCAUAUGGAAGAUCAAUAGAGAUCCCUUCAAAUUUGAAUCUCAUCAGAGGAACCUUCGCACCUUUGACACAGUGAAUACCUGAUACUUCUGGUCUGCUCGCGAGAAUGUUGCGCAGAACAAUGAAAAAGUCUUCUUCUAUUGUUGCAAAGCACGGUCCAACACAUAAUGCAUCAAUAUCAGACUCCGAAUUAUGAACCUGAAAAGAAUAGAACAAGUCAAGACGGCGAGGAACCUGCAACUUUGAAAGUAUUUUCUGCAUCAACUUGCAGCUGUUAUAUUAAAAGUGGAAGAGAAGUAAACAGUAAAAUUGCAAUCUCCCGGGGCAUGGAUUGGUAGUGUUCAGUUACAGGUUAAAAUAGAACCACAUGUACAAAUGUCAGUUUCAAUGCUGUAUCGCUGAAAGUACAUUCCCUCUUAGAAAGACUUUCAACUUGAAACUGCAUUUUGCAACAAGAAUCCGUCAGUUUGAUAACAAGAACACAAAUUAUUACCCACAGAUCUGCCAUCAUACUACUGCAUUCUCCAACCAAACAAAAUAGAGGAAACUGUCAAGUAAUGAAUUAAGACUUACUCCUAGACCAUAUGAUCCAUAUGUCAAUAUUGUGCCAGAGGCAAACCUGAGGUAUCUUUCUGGAAGAGCGUGAUGGUAAGACACUGUCUGGACCCAUUCCCUCACUAUCUUUUUGAGCUUGUGAAUAGCAUUUCUCCUCUUCAUUUCCUCCUCUAGCGAAGGCACUAACCCUUCAGCGCCCAUAAUCUGAAAGAGUGACAUUGACCUUUCCAUUUCCAUUCGUAGAAUCGCAUCUUGGUUUCCCCCAAAACCCAAAACCCCACCAGGAUGGGGUACCUGAUAAUCAAGAUUCAAGUUUGGACGCAACCCAAUUGACCAUCUGGGUAGAUAUGUAUACACAUGUCGAGGAUCAACCAAUUGUUGCCUUUCAAUAUACCCAAAUUCCAUGCACAAAUGUUCAAUUGGAAUUCAGGAAGAUGAAGUAUGAAAAGGUUAAGGGAAAAGAAACAAACAAAAAACCCUUAUUAGAGAGGAAGAGGAAAAGGGUUUAGUAAGGGGGAAAAUAUGAA
This 2381-nucleotide unclassified non-coding RNA is filed under the name Hevea brasiliensis (rubber tree). Lineage: Eukaryota; Viridiplantae; Streptophyta; Magnoliopsida; Malpighiales; Euphorbiaceae. The record is from RNAcentral.